UACAGAGACUGCAAGCGUUAUUCGGAUUCACUGGGCGUAAAGGGUGCGCAGGCGGUUGGGUGUGUCAGAUGUGAAAUCCCGAGGCUUAACCUCGGAACUGCGUCUGAAACUACUCGACUAGAGUACUGGAGAGGGAAACGGAAUUCACGGUGUAGCAGUGAAAUGCGCAGAUAUCAGGAAGAACACCCGUGGCUAAGGCGGCUCUCUAGUACGGUACUGACGCUGAGACGCGAAAGCGUGGGGAGCGAACAGG
This 253-nucleotide ribosomal RNA is filed under the name uncultured bacterium. Its description in RNAcentral is "partial 16S ribosomal RNA". It matches the Rfam family "Bacterial small subunit ribosomal RNA", at positions 524 to 776 of the family's 1533-position model. The record is from RNAcentral.